Molecule: non-coding RNA, 115 nt
Organism: Triticum aestivum (bread wheat)
Lineage: Eukaryota; Viridiplantae; Streptophyta; Magnoliopsida; Poales; Poaceae
Source: Rfam
CUUGUACUCCCUCCGUCCAAAAAUACUUGUCAUUGAAAUGGAUGUAUCUAGAUGUAUUUUAGUUCUAGACACAUCCAUUUUGAUGAAAAGUAAUUCCAGACGGAGGGAGUACUUG